AAGUGGGGCUAAGAAUAGCACAUUCCAAUGCACAACCUUUCGCAACACAUUCACUAGCAUUCAUUGUCCGCCUAGGCUCCUUACCAAAGAACUCCGUCAAAAUUUUCAUUAUUGCAGGUACACGGGACCCCGAACCAACAACCUCAACAGCAUAUAUAUUUUCUACAGUCAGCCCUGCCUCUGAAAGAGCUUUCUCCAACGGCUUCUUAACUCGCUCCAGUAUCGGAAUGCUAAUUUGUUCAAACUCGUCUCUUUUGAUGAAGCCUCUGACAUCCUUCUCGUCCAUCAAGCACUCUAUAUUCAAAGGCGCCUCUGGAUUUGCACUGAGAACCUUCUUCAGUUUCUCACAUGCAGCACGAAGCCUAAGGGAGGCCCUUGCAUUUUGGUAAACAUCAAUCUUGUAUUCGGUCUUGAAUUUUUCAGCAAAGUUUUGAAACAGCACUUCGUCAAAAUCUCUCCCACCAAGUGACCGAUCAAACGCAUGGGCUAAUAUUUUCAGUUGGCCUUUCUUUAAACCAGCUAUACAUACUUGCAUACUAGCAUGACCAAUAUCUACAAAGGCAACAUUCAGCUGGUCAUUCUCCGGCAAAUCAGUCUUGUAAAUACCAUAUGCAAGAGCAGUAGCUGUAGUUUCAUGAAUGAGUCUAAGUGGGUGCAACCCUGCAAUCGUAGCAGCAUCUAGAACAGCACGCCUUUGAAGAUCAGUGAAAUAAAUAGGAAUCCCAAUGCAGCAAUCAACCACAGCGGCAUUCAGAUUCUUCUCCGCUAUACUUUUCAGAUCUGAGAAGACCAUUCCCAAUACUUGGGUUGGUGUAAAGCUUCUCAUUUCUCCAAGAUAUUGAGCAUUAAUUAAUGGAUACCCAUCAGGACCUUCAGUUACAGAAAAAGGGAGUGACUUGAUAUCCCGCUGCAGUUCAGGAUCCGAAAACUGGCGUCCAAUCAGCCGCUUAAUCUGAGAAAUUGUGUUUUUUGGGUUCAUCAUACUUGAAGCGGCACCAGCUGUUCCAAGGAAACGUUGCUUUUCACCGAAGCAUACAAUAGCAGGAGUCUCACGUUUAGAUUCAUCAUUCAGUACAACAUCAAUCCCCCGUUGCCUUGCAACAGCAACAACACCACUCUCAUUCCCAAAAUCAAAACCAACAACGCUCAUCUUCCCUAUGGUUCAACACAAAGACCAACAACCAAAAUCAAAAUAAAUAAAUUGCUCAUAAAGUAAUAGCAUCUCUAAAAAACUAUACCCAUACAUUAAAGCCUUAUCACAAUCAAAAACUGUCUUGAGACACUUAAAAGCAAGUCUAAUUCAGGAAAAAAAUAUAUGCAGUAUAACCUAGGCAUGCAUCCUAGGUGUAGCUCAGGUUUUUGUUAAAUUCAAACAACAAACACCACAGUAAAUAAAAGAAUUGAGUCAAAACCUAAUUAGUCUCAAAAAUAAAAACACGUCUUAAUAAAAACCAGAAUAGUAGAUACGAUGUUCCAACAUUCUAUCAGAAAUUUAUAUAUUAAACAUUCUACUAAAAUUUAAAUUAAGCGUCAGAGAAAUCAUCAUUCCAACAUCGUAUAGACCCGGGAGAAAUUUAUCAUCAUACAAACAUUAUAUAGACCCAUUCAACACGGACAUAAUUAAGUUGAGAUCAUCAUAAAUAACUAUAAUGGCCAAAAACAGUAUGAACGAUCUAGAAACGCACACGUAAUCAUUAUCAACGAAAUAGUUAACGUCCCAAAACUAAAACAGUCCACUCAUUUAAAACCGCUGCCAACCAACUUCGUGGGAACACUCAGAAUCAUUCAAAAAUCCUAUCCAAGCAUUCAAAGCCAGACUACAACCGACAAAACAUAAUGCAGCCCAACCUCCAAACCUCCGCAUACGAACAACACACACAAACAAAUAUUGACUUCCAGAAUUGAUCCCACACACUCCCACCGCAGUCAAUUUCCAAAUUCAGCUAAACGAUAAACAAACACAAUGCAUCCAAUAUCAACAACACCCUAACAAAACCCUUAAACUCAAUAGUUAAUGUCCCAAAAUUAAAACAGUCCACUCAUUUAAAACCGCUGCUAACCAACUUCGCGGGAAAACUCAGAAUCAUUCAAAAAUCCUAUCCAUGCAUUCAAAGCCAGACUAACACCGACAAAACAUAACGCAGCCCAACCUCCAAACCUCCGCAUACGAACAACACAUACAAACAAAAAUUGACUUCCCAGAAUUGAUCCCACACACUCCCACCGCAGUCAAUUUCCAAAUUCAGCUACACGAUAAACCAACACAAUGCAUCCAAUAUCAACAACACCCGAACAAAACCCUAAAACUCAAUCAUAUAGACAUAAAGCUCCAAACUUUACCACCAAUAUCAAUAUCAUAAAGAGUAAUCACACGAAAUCAACAACCACCAACACAAUUUUACAUAGAUUACGGGAAAAAUCUAAAACAAAGCUAAAGUUUCAAUCUUCAAAUCAACAUCAAAAAACACUAAUUAACAUAGAACCAAGAUCAGUCAACACAACUCCACAUAAAUCACAGUAAUUAACCGAGAAUUAAGCAAAAGUUUCAAUCUUUACAUCAAAAUAUCAUACAAAAACAGUAACAAACACAGAAUCAACAUCAAUCAACACAACUCCACUUACAAUACAGUAAUUCAUAGUAAACUAAACGAAUUACAGAUCUGAAAAUUGAGAAUUAACAAAACAAAGUGAGUAAAGAUCGUACCUUUAGGAUGAUCACUUUCACGGAGUAGUCAAAUUAGUGUGUGCGUUGUGUUCUUUGUGUAUGAAAUAUAAGAGGGGGCAAAAAAAAAAUGAAGGGUUUUAAUAUGUAACGGGAGAAGUGUAGAGGCCUAGAGGGGUCUCGAGCUUGUAAGCUCUAGAAUGUUCCGUAUUUUGAGUUUGAGUUGGGCUAUUUGGUUAAUUUCUCUUAAACCCUGGUGUUCUUGUUCUAAUUUUUGGUGCUUUCACUAAUUUGAAAUUUAUAUUUUAGUGUAAGAAUAUAUGUAUUGAAAUAUGUAUAGUAGAUUUGUAAUUUAUAAUUGAAAGUGAUAUAAAUGAUUAAAUUAAUUAUUACAUUUGAAUACGUUAAAUCCGAAUUCAACUUCUAACAUAAAUAUAUGAUGUUUUAUAUUCGAAUUUUGAGUUAACAAAUGUCAGAAAUCAAUAUACUUAUAUAAAGGAGAAGCGGGGGGCGUGUAGGUGGCGCCUCUCACAUCGCUCCGUUCUAUUUUUCUAAUUUUCUGGAAUUUUUGGAUGAAAAAUAUCAAAAAAUUAGAAUUACCUUUUUUAGUUUCGGGUAUAUUAUAAGCAAAUUUCAGAAUCUGAUUUUGUUAUAGAUUAUUUAUGGAAUAAAGUAGCUUGAAAGUUUUAAUCUGAUUUUGUUUCAGAUUAUUUAAUUAAAUUAUGGGAAAGACAGAUUAUUUAUGGAAUAUAAUAGCUUGAAAUUUUUAAUCUGAUUUUGUUCAGAUUAUUUAAUUAUGAGAAAGAGUAGCAAACAAGUCUCUCUACACCUAUAAAUACACGUAUAUAUCGUAGGGUUUUGGAUCAUCUAAACACAACCUCCUCUCUCAAUACCACAAACCUACCUGAUAGUUCUCUUACUCGAUUUUUAAAGGAGAAGCGAGAGGCGUGUAGUUGGCGCCUCUCACAUCGCUCCGUUCUAUUUUUCUAAUUUUUUGAAAUUUUUGGAUGAAGGCGUGAAAUUUUUGAAAUUUUUGGAUGAAGGAGAAGCGAGAGGCGUGUAUUUUGGGUGACAAUGUAAGAACAUGAUUACUUUCAAAAAAAAAAUAAAUAAAUUAAGAUUCGUCAUGUUUUAAAUUGUUAAUUACGUGUAUAAAUUUAUUUUUAUUUUUUCACCAUGAAUUAUAGUCCAAUUUUGCAAUUUUAUAUAUUAGUAUUGGUAUUACAUUAAAAUUUUUAUAAUAUAAAUUUAUUUUAUUCUACAAAUCUUAACUUUGAAACAUUAAUAUACUUUUUAUAAACAGCCAUAAAAUUAUUUUAUUCUACAAAUAUUAAUAUUGAAUCAUUAAUAUAAUUUUUAUAGACCGCCGCAACGCGCGGCUUCUCCACUAGUUAUGUAAUAUAAAAAUAUCAUGGACAUUUAAAGUAUAAAUUUUAAUAUUUCAGGUAUAUUAUAUCAUAUAUGUCAUGGAUGGAAUCAAAUUUAUUUUUAGAAGAAAAAUAAUUUUGAGUUUUAGAUUGAGUUUAAAAUCGUGUUUCAAAUAUAUAAUAUUUCAGUGAUAAACUUUAUAUUUCCGAUAGUCUAAUUUUAUUUUUAACAAAUUUUAAUUAAAAUUCGUCAAAGCGUAUAUUUUUUGAAUAAAAUAAAAUAACAUCGCUAUUAAUUAAAAUGAAAAACAUCACCUUCACGUUGUAUUCUACACACGUCAUCGCUAAUUCAACAUUAUUAGUCUAUCAAGUAUGACUGCAACACAUCAUCAUUAAUUAUCCCAAAUAAGAUAUUAUAGAUGUUAAAUAUAUGGAUAAAUUGAGUUACACAUUCAUAACAUGGAUAUUAAAAAUGAUAUUUUCAUUAUCAAUUUAAAAAUUAUAUUUUUAUUUUUAUUACAAAUAUAUAAAACUUGUGAUAGUUAUAUCAUUUUUCAGAUCAAAUAUAAGAUUAUAUAAUAUAUUCGAAUCAAGUUUGAGAAUUUUGUACUAAUUAUAAAUAUUAAUAUUCCACGGUUAAUUUAACGUGUGAAUGAUCUAAUUUCAAGUUUUGGAUCGAAUACUCGUGUUUCAAAUAAAUUAAACUUCACGUAUAGAAAUUAUCUUGAUAGUGGAAUCACAUUUCCAUAUUUAUUGUCACAAAUUCAUUUCCGUUCUUAUUUACAAAGAUCGGCAAGUUUUUGAUCCGAUACAUUUCCGAACCCGGUGAUGUUGAGAUUAGAAAGGAUCUCACACAGACACAAAUUCCAGGUGUAUCAUACAUAACAAGCAUAAUAAUAGUAGAAAGAACAUUAACAUAGUCUCAUAUCCACCUCUAGCAAUCUUUUUGAAACCAUUUUGUCCUAAUCAGAAAUAAAUCAACAAACAAACAAAUUAAUAAAUAAAUGCCAGACUGCAAGCAGUUCAUCACUUAUGAACCUUUGUGUGAAAGUUGAUUCUUCAUAGGGGUAGACCAACCAUGAGCAUAAGGAAAUAUUUUGAUAACAAACAAGCUUCUGAUAUAAGUUUUCUAUAGUUCCCAGGAAAAUGGAAGUUCACCCCGAGAUAAUUUUCCCACAAAUUGUUUCAGAAAAGUGUUUCCGAAGACCUGUAUUAUAGCAUACAGGAGUAACAGAAUUUGCUAAACCAUCUUAAAUAAGAACGGCUUUAUAAACCAACAUACAGAAACAAAGUCGCUCUCAUUCUCCACCCCUCUUAAUCUCAGAAUAAUUCUACAUCACGUUGACUGAUCUAUAAGUAAAGAACAAAAACUCCAGUUUAUGCUGCACUCUCGGGUUUUUCAGUUUCCAUUGGCUCUUCGGAAGCCAAUGGAACCUCGGUGCCAGGUGUAUUCUCACUAGCAUCUUUGUUGAGAUCACCAAAAUUUUCUGCACCAUGAGACUGGUCACUGCUUGGAGAAGAAACUUCAGGUGCGGCUGGCUUAGCUGCCUUUGGUUUUGGUUUCGUCAUUAUCGGUCUGCAGAACCUGUUCAUGCAAAGGCAAUUAAUAAUAAUACGAUUAAAAGGAAUACUUUAGCGAGAAACAGGAACAUAAAUAUCCAUAUGUAGAGCCCUAGUAAUCCUCAAAUUUUUUAAGACCACAAAGGAUAUGUUCAGCUAAAACAGUGCAUAAGAACAUCUUGCAAGCAACAUCCAGUUGUAUAAUUGUCAAUGAGAUAUUAUUAAUGUAUAUACAUAUUCCCAGACCCAAGAAAUUAGUAACACUACUAGACCAUCCUUGAGACGUAAAUCAAAACAACACACGAUAUUCGGAGUUUGAUAGAACAGUAAAAGAAACAAUUCUGUAGUACAUCCUACAUAAGCAAACAUUUACCUGUCAAGAGCUUCAGCUUUCUUUUUCAAAUCAGCUGACAAGAGAACUGGAGUGGCAUGUUUUGGUAAUGAAUCUUGGUGCUGCUUUUUCUCCUUUAACCAAGCUUCAGCAUCCACACAUUCCUUCAAAACCUACACAUCCAGGCAUUUAAGAGCUACGGUGAAUUACAAUUCAUCUUAAUAACAAGUAUGAGAAAAGAAUAUCUGACACUUCGCUACCUUCUCCUUCUCAGCAAUAUCAAUGUGAUCAAACUUGGAGUCAGAUGACAUUACUGCCUCUCUGUAGCUAUUGAUGCAAUAAACUAGUUCAUCAACCACAGAUCCCCUCUCCAAGUGUUCCUUGUAGCGCAGCUCAACAGGAUCACCACGCUGCAAGUACCUUCAGUCAAUUGGAAUACAUAGACAAUAAUAAUCACAAAAACAAAUUUGGCACAGCUACCAACCUUCUUCAGUUCUUCAAGCUUGGCAACAUAUACACCCUUGGUCUCAUCCUCACCAUCUUCAUACAACCAAUCUUCAACCUGUUGAAGGAUGGCUAUGAACUCCUCUCUCUCCGGAUCAGUAACAAAGUCAUGAUAUUUGUCAUGUAGCUGGGAGAAAACACAGAUGUAAGACAAAAUACUCAAAUAAUCAUGACGAAUAGUUUAAUGUUAAACUAAAGCAAACCUUGUUUCUCAUGUCAUAAACAUAAGCCUCCACAGCAUUCUUUUUGUCUUUGGUUUCUUCCAUUACUCUAUCUUGCAAUGCCAUUUCGAAUUCCUUCUCCACUGCUUUCUGCACGUCUGCAUGUGGCAUUCCCCCGUAAACUAGCUCGGUCACCGGUAUGUCGGUCUUUUUCACCUUCUUCUUUGAAACCUCAACCUACAUUAAAAUAUAAUAAUAAAUCAUACAGGCAGGACACAAUAUAUUUAAUUGAGAGAAUAUAUUUAAUUGAGAGGCAGGACACAAUAUAUUUAAUUGAGAGAAUAUGCAGAAUGUUAGGAAUAUAAAUUAGAAAGUAAAGGGCAUAGGCUGUAGAAGAACAAAAUUGAUGUUACCAAGCACAGCACCAUAAAAAACAGUUAUUUAUGUGCAAAGCAUCUUGCUAAACAUUCCAAAGAAUUUGUCUGACCUUGGAUUCGGUUUCCAUUUGGACAGGGACGUCUCCUUGAGCUGCAUUCGCAGAGCCAGGAGCAGCACUCUUUGCAUCUUCCAUAUCCACAUCAUUCUCAGUACCACUUGAAAGAGCCGGUGCAGGUGGAACUUCAUCUGUAUCCAUCUUUGUAGUCUCUUUCACGACUGGAAUCUCAACUUCCUCUUCUUCAAGUAGCUGAAAUUUUUUUUGAGGAAUAAAACACAAUGGAUAUUAGGAGAACUCAAGUACAAAACAUACAAACAAAAGACAUGCCAAUAGUCAGGAAGACACUUCCAUGCUUUUCUCAUCAAAUUAAAAUGUAACAACAAAGCUGGCUAGCUAUCAGUAAAACUUACAGUUGCCGACUCAAUGGACACAACACCAUGUAGAUUUAGACGAACUUUUACUUUCACUUUUGCUCGUUCACUUUUUGUUGACUGAAAAGGGCCAAUCUGUCGAAAACAAUGAUAAUAAUAACAGUAAGAGAACAGGAAUGUCACAUCAACCAUAGACUACUUAUGUGGAUUAACUUGUUUCUAGACAUCAGAUGCUGCAGUCUCAGAACCUGAAUAAUUUCCAUACCGUGUAUGUGCUGAUCAUUGCAGGUGCUUGAACUUCAUUUACAUCAGCAUAGUGUACAUCUACUGUAAAUGUUCCAGACCUGAAGAAUGUCAGGGCCUUCACACUAGGUAUCGAAUUUCCUUUUGGAAAAACAAUAGUACUCUGUUGAUUGUCCGCUCCAUUCUGAGCAUCUGGAGCAGUGCCUUUCCAUGACAAAGCAAUAGUGAAUGGGAAGCUCUCAUUGACCUUCAAAACCAAAAAUGAAAAUAAAAAAAGACUCAUAAUUACAAAUUUAAGAAGAAUAACAAGAAAUCAAGUUUUAAAUCAUGGUGAAUCAGUUCAAUAUAUAUCAAACAAAAAGCAGAAAAACAACCCUCGAAUGAGGUGAAAAACAAAUCCCUCCCCUGGACAAGAAAAAUGUCUACCUGGAAUUCUCUCACUUUAAAAGUGGGGCUAAGAAUAGCACAUUCCAAUGCACAACCUUUCGCAACACAUUCACUAGCGUUCAUUGUCCGCCUAGGCUCCUUACCAAAGAACUCCGUCAAAAUCUUCAUUAUUGCAGGUACACGGGACCCUGAACCAACCACCUCAACAGCAUAUAUAUUUUCUACAGUCAGCCCUGCCUCUGAAAGAGCUUUCUCCAACGGCUUCUUAACUCGCUCCAGUAUCGGAAUGCUAAUUUGUUC
RNAcentral lists this long non-coding RNA (8322 nucleotides) under Daucus carota (carrot). RNAcentral's name for it is "long non-coding RNA (DCAR_LNC005329)". Lineage: Eukaryota; Viridiplantae; Streptophyta; Magnoliopsida; Apiales; Apiaceae. The record is from RNAcentral.